GAAAUUCUCAAAGUAAAUCUUUUGUUAAUUCAACUGGUUUGCUUUGGACUUGGAGGUCUUUGCAGAUUUCACCUCUGCUCCUCUUAAAUUCAUUAGCUGGAUCUCAGUAUAUGCUUGGUUCCACUCGGCGUGAUAAGUAUCACUCGCUGAGGACACUGUAAAAAGUGGCCAGGAAAUGCAGAUGAACCGCUUCUAACAGUCUAUUAAGUUAGACAAUUAAUUUAAGAUCUGAUCUCAAAUCAGGUAGGACUACCCGCUGAACUUAA
RNAcentral lists this unclassified non-coding RNA (266 nucleotides) under Ceratobasidium sp. AG-O. RNAcentral describes it as "ITS2". The record is from RNAcentral. Lineage: Eukaryota; Fungi; Basidiomycota; Agaricomycetes; Cantharellales; Ceratobasidiaceae.